GUAUAUUUAAAAAAAAUGAAAAAAAAAAAAAAUAAUACUAGAGAUCGGGACUCCGAACCAACCAUCCCAAUGUAUAAAGCUCUGCUGCUCUACCAGAAUGGUCCUACUCCUAUGGCUUCAGUUUCUCUCUCUCUCUCUCUCUCUCUCUCUCUCUCUGCUUCUGCAUUCUUUUCAGGUGUGCUGCAGAACACCAGUCUUGUGCUUGAAAACAUGCAAAGCAAGGUCAAGACAGUAUACCUUGACUUCUGAGGCUGGAUUCAGCAGUUGAUGUUCCCCUUUUGAUUUGUUGUAUCCAUCGAUUACUGAUUCCAUGCUGUAAGAGUAGAGAAUAGGCUAAUCAAUUUUUUUUGUACAAUUUUAUCAAUUGUCUUAAAGCUUUCAACAUCAAAAUUUCAGUUAGAAUCUCAUGAAGAUGACCGGUAAACUUCCAUGGAAAACGAGGAGAAUAGGAAAGAAAUAGGACAGAAUAGUGAGGCUGUGAAUCUAAUCUUACUAAUGUUACAUUUGGGAUCAUGA
Molecule: long non-coding RNA, 516 nt
Organism: Malania oleifera
Lineage: Eukaryota; Viridiplantae; Streptophyta; Magnoliopsida; Santalales; Ximeniaceae
Exons: 2
Source: RefSeq, a predicted model, not a curated record